RNAcentral lists this ribosomal RNA (305 nucleotides) under uncultured bacterium. Its description in RNAcentral is "partial 16S ribosomal RNA". It matches the Rfam family "Bacterial small subunit ribosomal RNA", at positions 508 to 807 of the family's 1533-position model. The record is from RNAcentral.
ACAGCAGCCGCCGCGGGAAUACAGAGGGUGCAAGCGUUAAUCGGAAUUACUGGGCGUAAAGCGCGCGUAGGUGGUUUGUUAAGUUGGAUGUGAAAUCCCCGGGCUCAACCUGGGAACUGCAUCCAAAACUGGCAAGCUAGAGUAUGGUAGAGGGUGGUGGAAUUUCCUGUGUAGCGGUGAAAUGCGUAGAUAUAGGAAGGAACACCAGUGGCGAAGGCGACCACCUGGACUGAUACUGACACUGAGGUGCGAAAGCGUGGGGAGCAAACAGGAUUAGAUACCCCUGUAGUCCCUGUCUCUUAUAC